GCCUGGACAGCUCAGUUGGUUAGAGUAUGGUGCUGAUAACGCCAAGGUUGCAGGUUCAAUCCCUGUAUGGGACA
Non-coding RNA from Podarcis lilfordi (Lilford's wall lizard), 74 nucleotides. Lineage: Eukaryota; Metazoa; Chordata; Lepidosauria; Squamata; Lacertidae. The record is from the annotation of a GenBank genome assembly.